CAAAGGUGAAUCAUAAUAUUUAUAGCAAAUUAUACAGAGGAAGUAAUUCUUCUUGAUAAUAAACCGAUCAAAUUUCUGCCCUAUCAUACUUUGGACGGUAAUGUAGUGGAUUACGGUGGUGAUGACGGGUAACGGAGAAUUAGGGUUUGAUUCCGGAGAGGGAGCAUGAGAAAUGGCUACCACUUCCAAGGAAGGCAGCAGGCGCGUAAAUUACCCAAUCCUAAAACAGGGAGGUAGUGACGAUAAAUAACAAUGAUUCAAUGAUAACAAAGUUGAAUUAAUUGGAAUGAGAACAAUAUAAAUCCCUUAUCGAGUAACAAUUUCAGGGCAAGUUCUGGUGCCAGCAGCCGCGGUAAUUCCAGCUGAAAAAGCGUAUACGAAUAUUGUUGCAGUUAAAACGCUCGUAGUUGGAAUAAAAAAGAGAAAGAGAGAGAGAAAAACAAUUGUUUUUUCAAUCUUUAUUUC
RNAcentral lists this ribosomal RNA (465 nucleotides) under uncultured eukaryote. RNAcentral's name for it is "bacterial SSU rRNA". It matches the Rfam family "Eukaryotic small subunit ribosomal RNA", at positions 241 to 691 of the family's 1831-position model. The record is from RNAcentral.